AGAACGAACGCUGGCGGCAUGCCUAACACAUGCAAGUCGAACGAGACCUUCGGGUCUAGUGGCGCACGGGUGCGUAACGCGUGGGAAUCUGCCCUUGGGUUCGGGAUAACAGUUGGAAACGACUGCUAAUACCGGAUGAUGACUUCGGUCCAAAGAUUUAUCGCCCAGGGAUGAGCCCGCGUAGGAUUAGCUAGUUGGUGAGGUAAAGGCUCACCAAGGCGACGAUCCUUAGCUGGUCUGAGAGGAUGAUCAGCCACACUGGGACUGAGACACGGCCCAGACUCCUACGGGAGGCAGCAGUGGGGAAUAUUGGACAAUGGGCGAAAGCCUGAUCCAGCAAUGCCGCGUGAGUGAUGAAGGCCUUAGGGUUGUAAAGCUCUUUUACCCGGGAUGAUAAUGACAGUACCGGAGAAUAAGCCCGCUAACUCCGUGCUAGCAGCCGC
RNAcentral lists this ribosomal RNA (443 nucleotides) under uncultured soil bacterium. RNAcentral's name for it is "bacterial SSU rRNA". It matches the Rfam family "Bacterial small subunit ribosomal RNA", at positions 26 to 518 of the family's 1533-position model. The record is from RNAcentral.